Molecule: long non-coding RNA, 1905 nt
Filed under: Fragaria vesca (wild strawberry)
Lineage: Eukaryota; Viridiplantae; Streptophyta; Magnoliopsida; Rosales; Rosaceae
Description: long non-coding RNA (FVES_LNC001389)
Source: RNAcentral
GACGAAAAAAAUUAUUCAGACGACGAAAUUAAAAUUUCGUCGUCUAAAGUUGACCAAAGCCAACGAAAAUUUAAAUUAGCCGACGAAGGAAAAUUUCGUCGGCUAAAAUCCACGUUAGCCGACGAAAAAAUAAUUCGUCGGCCUGGUUUUUUUAUUUUUGUCGGCUAAAGCCUUUCUCCUGGUAGUGUCACUACCAGGACAAGCACUUUAGCCGACGAAAAAUUUUCGUCGGCCUGUCAACUUAAUUCGUCGGCUAAGAGCUUAGCCGACGACCUUUCGUCGGCUAAGAUUUCGGCGGGAAAAGGUCGUCUGUGGUGACUUUAGCCGACGACACAUGUAGAAGUCGUCGGCUAUAGUCCAGAGUUUAGCUGACGAAAAAAAUGUCGUCGGCUAUAGUCCAAACUUUAGACGACGAAAAAAUGUCGUCGGGUAUAGUCCAAACUUUAGCCGACGAAAAAAAUUUAAGGUAUUCGUCGGCUAUAGUCUAGAGUUUAGCCGACGAAAAACAUGUCGUCGGUUAUUUCUCCGACUUUAGCCAACGAAUAAUUUAAAAUAUUCGUCGGCUAAAGUUUGUAAAUAAAAAACAAAAAACAUCUAUAGCCGACGAAAUAUAGUCUAUUUCGUCGGCUUUAUAGGGAUUUAGCCGACGAAUUAAAGCGUAUUUCGUCGGCUAAAAUUUAAUUUAAAAAAAAAAAAAAACUUUAGCGGACGAAUUAAGGCGUUUUUCGUCGGCUAUAAGUCCAUUCCAGUAAAAAAAAAAAAACCCCGAAAUUUCUGAAUUACCAUUUCAAGGAAGCUGCAAAAUACACCAAAACAAUUCCAUAUAACCAACAACAAGCACAUAAAACUAUAUAAUUCAUUCAUCAACUACAGAAAAUCUAAAUCGUCUAAAUUAAUAUCCACUUCUGGGGGCUGCUGCGGAGGUUGCGGCGGCUGGGGUAGCGGUAUGGGCGGAGGCAUGGGCGGAGCCAGAAGUCCCUGAAGCUGAGCAGCUGUAAAGUCCUGCAUGUACUGGAACAUCUGCUGCUGCUGGGCCUGCUGGAUGGCAUGUAUCUCGGCAACAUAGGCUGCCUACGCGGCAUUAUAGGCUGCCUGCGAGGCAUUAUAGGCUGCCUGAGCAGCUUGCUGUUCUCGUAGUCUCUGAACUUUCGACUCUAGCUGAGUCGUCCUGGUGGUCGUGGACGUGGUCCUGCUGCUAGUCGAGGCUGCCUUUCGUUGAAAUCCUGGAGUGGUCUUCAGGAUCCCCCUCGCCUUUCUUUCCUAGACCUCGGCAGUAGAAGUUGUUUGCUCUCGGUGGGAAAGCUGUGCCCAUGAUCCUCGCCCCAAUCGUCGGAUCCGAAAUGUCGAUCCGGGACAUGGCUUCGGACAUCUCUUCCUCCUGCGUGUCCGGCCAUGUCUCCCUCGCUAUAGCACUCAUCACCUCGUCACUAGCCUCCCUCACCUUCGCCUAUAUGGAUAGGAAAAAUAUUAUUAAUUAACAUUUUGACAUAUAUAUAAGUAAAUUUAAAAAUUUAAAAACGUAAGAUGACUUACAAUAUCCUCUUGGGAGUCAGGAUAUGUCUUCUCGUACGUAUAGACGUACCAGUUGACUUCUGGAUGUUCCCUGGCCGCCUCGUCCAUGAAGACAGCAAACGGUCUAGAACCGCCAUGAUGGUUCCUUGUGUUGCGUUGCCGGUUCUGAGAGUUCGCUCGGGAAACGGCCUUCAAAGAAAAAAAUAAAUUAUUAGUAAAAUAUUUAAAAACGGACGUACUUAAUGACAAAUUAACUAAUUAAUUUUUUUAAAUACCUGUUUACGAGGGUUGUUGAAUUCUGAUGUCAGAAGCCAACGCCACUCGUACUCCCUGUACUGGAACUCAGCAGGGGUACCAGAACGUGCGUUCCCGUCGCGUAGUCCAGUGGGUCCN